GACGAACGCUGGCGGCGUGCCUAAUACAUGCAAGUAGAACGCAGUUGCGAACGGGUGAGUAACGCGUAGGUAACUGCCUGGUAGCGGGGGAUAACUAUUGGAAACGAUAGAUAAUACCGCAUACUACUAGAUGGACCUGCGUUGUAUUAGCUAGUGGGUGGGGUAACGGCUUACAAAGGCGACGAUACAUAGCCGCCCUGAGAGGGGGAUCGGCCACACGGGGCCUGGGACACGGCCCAGACUCCUACGGGAGGCAGCAGUAGGGAAUCUUCGGCAAUGGACGGAAGUCUGACCGAGCAACGCCGCGUGAGUGAGGAGGGUUUUCGGAUCGUAAAGCUCUGUUGUUAGAGAAGCGGUAUCUAACCAGAAAGCCACGGCUAACUACGUGCCAGCAGCCGCGGUAAUAC
This 407-nucleotide ribosomal RNA is filed under the name uncultured bacterium. RNAcentral describes it as "partial 16S ribosomal RNA". It matches the Rfam family "Bacterial small subunit ribosomal RNA", at positions 28 to 526 of the family's 1533-position model. The record is from RNAcentral.